This 46-nucleotide non-coding RNA is filed under the name Schistosoma margrebowiei. The record is from RNAcentral. Lineage: Eukaryota; Metazoa; Platyhelminthes; Trematoda; Strigeidida; Schistosomatidae.
AUCCAGCUGACGAGUCCCAAAAAAGAACGAAAUGCGUGUCCUAGAU